GGNGGGGCGCUGCUUACCAUGCAGUCGACGAUGAACUGGGUGCUUGCACCUGGGGAUUAGUGGCGAACGGGUGAGUAACACGUGAGUAACCUGCCCUGGACUCUGGGAUAACCCCGAGAAAUCGGAGCUAAUACCGGAUAGGACCUGGAACCGCAUGGUUUUGGGUGGAAAGUUUUUUCGGUCUGGGAUGGACUCGCGGCCUAUCAGCUUGUUGGUGAGGUAAUGGCUCACCAAGGCGUCGACGGGUAGCCGGCCUGAGAGGGUGACCGGCCACACUGGGACUGAGACACGGCCCAGACUCCUACGGGAGGCAGCAGUGGGGAAUAUUGCACAAUGGGCGCAAGCCUGAUGCAGCAACGCCGCGUGAGGGAUGACGGCCUUCGGGUUGUAAACCUCUUUUAGUAAGGAAGAAGGGGAGCUUGCUCCUUGACGGUACUUGCAGAAAAAGGACCGGCUAACUACGUGCCAGCAGCCGCGGUAAUACGUAGGGUCCGAGCGUUGUCCGGAAUUAUUGGGCGUAAAGAGCUCGUAGGCGGUUUGUCACGUCUGCUGUGAAAUCCCGAGGCUCAACCUCGGGCCUGCAGUGGGUACGGGCAGACUGGAGUGCGGUAGGGGAGAUUGGAAUUCCUGGUGUAGCGGUGGAAUGCGCAGAUAUCAGGAGGAACACCGAUGGCGAAGGCAGAUCUCUGGGCCGUAACUGACGCUGAGGAGCGAAAGCGUGGGGAGCGAACAGGAUUAGAUACCCUGGUAGUCCACGCCGUAAACGUUGGGCGCUAGAUGUGGGGACCAUUCCACGGUUUCCGUGUCGUAGCUAACGCAUUAAGCGCCCCGCCUGGGGAGUACGGCCGCAAGGCUAAAACUCAAAGGAAUUGACGGGGGCCCGCACAAGCGGCGGAGCAUGCGGAUUAAUUCGAUGCAACGCGAAGAACCUUACCAAGGCUUGACAUAUACGAGAACGCCGCAGAAAUGUGGAACUCUUUGGACACUCGUAUACAGGUGGUGCAUGGGUUGUCGUCAGCUCGUGUCGUGAGAUGUUGGGUUAAGUCCCGCAACGAGCGCAACCCUCGUCGUAUGUUGGCCAGCACGUAAUGGUUGGGAACUCAUAUGAGACUGCCGNGUCAACUCGGAGGAAGCUGNGAUGACGUCAAUCAUCAUGCCCCUUAUGUCCUGGGCUUCACCGCAUGCUUAACAUGNCGGNNACCNAGGCUGGCCAUGUCGUAGGACGGAGCGAAUUCUAAAAAGGCCCGCGNCUCUCAGA
RNAcentral lists this ribosomal RNA (1258 nucleotides) under Actinomycetota bacterium. RNAcentral describes it as "bacterial SSU rRNA". It matches the Rfam family "Bacterial small subunit ribosomal RNA", at positions 38 to 1297 of the family's 1533-position model. The record is from RNAcentral. Lineage: Bacteria; Bacillati; Actinomycetota.